RNAcentral lists this ribosomal RNA (1343 nucleotides) under uncultured bacterium. RNAcentral describes it as "16S ribosomal RNA". It matches the Rfam family "Bacterial small subunit ribosomal RNA", at positions 28 to 1378 of the family's 1533-position model. The record is from RNAcentral.
GACGAACGCUGGCGGCGUGCUUAACACAUGCAAGUCGAACGGAAAGGCCCUGCUUUUGUGGGGUGCUCGAGUGGCGAACGGGUGAGUAACACGUGAGUAACCUGCCCUUGACUUUGGGAUAACUUCAGGAAACUGGGGCUAAUACCGGAUAGGAGCUCCUGCUGCAUGGUGGGGGUUGGAAAGUUUCGGCGGUUGGGGAUGGACUCGCGGCUUAUCAGCUUGUUGGUGGGGUAGUGGCUUACCAAGGCUUUGACGGGUAGCCGGCCUGAGAGGGUGACCGGCCACAUUGGGACUGAGAUACGGCCCAGACUCCUACGGGAGGCAGCAGUGGGGAAUAUUGCACAAUGGGCGGAAGCCUGAUGCAGCAACGCCGCGUGCGGGGUGACGGCCUUCGGGUUGUAAACCGCUUUCGCCUGUGACGAAGCGUGAGUGACGGUAAUGGGUAAAGAAGCACCGGCUAACUACGUGCCAGCAGCCGCGGUGAUACGUAGGGUGCGAGCGUUGUCCGGAUUUAUUGGGCGUAAAGGGCUCGUAGGUGGUUGAUCGCGUCGGAAGUGUAAUCUUGGGGCUUAACCCUGAGCGUGCUUUCGAUACGGGUUGACUUGAGGAAGGUAGGGGAGAAUGGAAUUCCUGGUGGAGCGGUGGAAUGCGCAGAUAUCAGGAGGAACGCCAGUGGCGAAGGCGGUUCUCUGGGCCUUUCCUGACGCUGAGGAGCGAAAGCGUGGGGAGCGAACAGGCUUAGAUACCCUGGUAGUCCACGCUGUAAACGGUGGGUACUAGGUGUGGGGUCCAUUCCACGGGUUCCGUGCCGUAGCUAACGCUUUAAGUACCCCGCCUGGGGAGUACGGCCGCAAGGCUAAAACUCAAAGGAAUUGACGGGGCCCCGCACAAGCGGCGGAGCAUGCGGAUUAAUUCGAUGCAACGCGUAGAACCUUACCUGGGUUUGACAUGGAUCGGGAGCGCUCAGAGAUGGGUGUGCCUCUUUUGGGGUCGGUUCACAGGUGGUGCAUGGCUGUCGUCAGCUCGUGUCGUGAGAUGUUGGGUUAAGUCCCGCAACGAGCGCAACCCUUGUUCACUGUUGCCAGCACGUUAUGGUGGGGACUCAGUGGAGACCGCCGGGGUCAACUCGGAGGAAGGUGGGGAUGACGUCAAGUCAUCAUGCCCCUUAUGUCCAGGGCUUCACGCAUGCUACAAUGGCUGGUACAGAGAGUGGCGAGCCUGUGAGGGUGAGCGAAUCUCGGAAAGCCGGUCUCAGUUCGGAUUGGGGUCUGCAACUCGACCUCAUGAAGUCGGAGUCGCUAGUAAUCGCAGAUCAGCAACGCUGCGGUGAAUACGUUCCCGGG